Molecule: ribosomal RNA, 492 nt
Filed under: uncultured bacterium
Lineage: Bacteria
Description: partial 16S ribosomal RNA
Rfam family: Bacterial small subunit ribosomal RNA
Source: RNAcentral
AGUGAACGCUGGCGGUAGGCCUAACACAUGCAAGUCGAACGGCAGCACAGUAAGAGCUUGCUCUUACGGGUGGCGAGUGGCGGACGGGUGAGGAAUACAUCGGAAUCUACUUUUUCGUGGGGGAUAACGUAGGGAAACUUACGAUAAUACCGCAUACGACCUACGGGUGAAAGCAGGGGAUCUUCGGACCUUGCGCGAUUGAAUGAGACGAUGUCGGAUUAGCUAGUUGGCGGGGUAAAGGCCCACCAAGGCGACGAUCCGUAGCUGGUCUGAGAGGAUGAUCAGCCACACUGGAACUGAGACACGGUCCAGACUCCUACGGGAGGCAGCAGUGGGGAAUAUUGGACAAUGGGCGCAAGCCUGAUCCAGCCAUACCGCGUGAGUGAAGAAGGCCUUCGGGUUGUAAAGCCCUUUUGUUGGGAAAGAAAAGCAGCAGGUUAAUACCCCGCUGUUCUGACGGUACCCAAAGAAUAAGCACCGGCUAACUUCGUG